GACGAACGCUGGCGGCGUGCCUAAUACAUGCGAGUAGAACGCUGAAGGAGGAGCUUGCUUCUCUGGAUGAGUUGCGAACGGGUGAGUAACGCGUAGGUAACCUGCCUGGUAGCGGGGGAUAACUAUUGGAAACGAUAGCUAAUACCGCAUAAUAGCAGUUGUUGCAUGACAACUGUUUGAAAGGUGCAAUUGCACCACUACCAGAUGGACCUGCGUUGUAUUAGCUAGUUGGUGGGGUAACGGCUCACCAAGGCGACGAUACAUAGCCGACCUGAGAGGGUGAUCGGCCACACUGGGACUGAGACACGGCCCAGACUCCUACGGGAGGCAGCAGUAGGGAAUCUUCGGCAAUGGACGGAAGUCUGACCGAGCAACGCCGCGUGAGUGAAGAAGGUUUUCGGAUCGUAAAGCUCUGUUGUAAGAGAAGAACGAGUGUGAGAGUGGAAAGUUCACACUGUGACGGUAUCUUACCAGAAAGGGACGGCUAACUACGUG
Molecule: ribosomal RNA, 495 nt
Filed under: uncultured bacterium
Lineage: Bacteria
Description: partial 16S ribosomal RNA
Rfam family: Bacterial small subunit ribosomal RNA
Source: RNAcentral